Long non-coding RNA from Thunnus maccoyii (southern bluefin tuna), 1389 nucleotides. RefSeq lists it as uncharacterized. The record is from RefSeq and is a predicted model, not a curated record. Lineage: Eukaryota; Metazoa; Chordata; Actinopteri; Scombriformes; Scombridae. The transcript has 3 exons.
UAUUAUAGACAACAUGAUAAUUAAAAAGCAAGAAAAUUAAAUCUAUGCAUGGCACCAUCCAUGACACGAGUCUGAAGAUCGCUGCUGCCAGUAUCUCCUGUCUACUGCCAUGCUUAGCAUUCUGCUGUGUUUUUAUCCUUUUAAUCGGCCAGUAGGCUUCCAUUAACCGUUCUUGCAGUCCUUCACACUCUUUUAGCCAACUGUCUACACUCCCACCAGACCUCUACCUUAAGUAGAAGUUAUUGUCUAUUGUUGGCUAGCUGGGAACCAAGCUACACCAACAUGGAGCUGGAUCACCGCAGUCAGGCCAUCUGGGUCUGUUGCCGAACAACUGUUCAUCAGACCACAUUAAGAUGAUAUUCAGCUUUACAUCUCCAUUAAGCCUGACGCCUGUCAUCAGCUGGUGAAGCUGGAAGAAUGCCUAUUAAAAAUCAAACAAUGGAUGUCAUCUAAUUUCCUCCUUCUGAAUGCUGAGAAAACUGAAAUGUUAGUUCUUGGUCCAAAGCAGAUUAUAAAACAAAUACAAUGAUCUCACUCUGAAUUUAGCUGGUUCCACAAUUUCACAAAACCCUUGUAUUAGAAAUCUCAGUGUCCUAUUUGAUCCUAAUCUCUCCUUUGGAAAACAUAUCAACAAUAUUACAAAGACUGCAUAUUUCCAUGCAUGAAAUAUUACCAAGAUUUGUCCCAUUCUUUCCACUUAUUCAUGCAUUUGUCUCAUUUAGGCUUGACUAUUCUGACACCCCUUUCUCUGGCUUACCUAAAUCAAAAUUAGAUUACAACUUGUACAAAAUACUGCUGCUAAGAUAUUAACCAAAACUAGAAAAUUUGACAAAAUUACCCCUGUUCUUGUUUCAUUACAACGGCUCCCUGUACAUGCUAGAUCUGACUUCAAGAUUCUACCUUUAACUCAUAAAAUAUUACAUGGACUUGCGCUAUCCUACUUAUCACCUCUAAUCACUCCUCAUAUACCUGCUAGGGCUCAAUGAUCAGAAAAUGCUGGUCUCCUGACUACUUAAAAAAUAAAUAAAACAUCAGUAGGUUGCAGGGCCUUCUCUUACUAAGCCCCUGUUCCUUAGAAUUGUCUUCCUAUCCAAAUAUGAGAGGCUAGCUCAGUUGAUUCAUCAAAAGUAAACUCAAAACACUAUUUGUCUAUUUGCAUCAGCCUUAAACCUCACUUAGUCUUCCUUUAGUACUAAAUUAUGGUUAUCCAGCUUAUAUUCAGUUCUAGGUGUGCAUGGUUACAUAUUUGUACGUAAAUGUGUAUGUUACACAUUUCUGUAUGUGUGUUUUCAUCUGUAUCCAGGUGUGAAUGUACAUGAGUUUUAUGUGCAUAUUGUAUAUUGCUGUAUUUUACUUUACUUUUUUCUUUUAAAUAUUUUUGUAAGUAUU